UAGAAAGUGGUGUAUUGGAAGCACGAAGAGUUUUGAUCUCUUAGGGAUGGGUUCAAAUCCCUUUUUUCUAA
RNAcentral lists this transfer RNA (71 nucleotides) under Arapaima gigas (arapaima). RNAcentral's name for it is "tRNA-Gln". It matches the Rfam family "tRNA". Rfam says of the family: Transfer RNA (tRNA) molecules are approximately 80 nucleotides in length. Their secondary structure includes four short double-helical elements and three loops (D, anti-codon, and T loops). The record is from RNAcentral. Lineage: Eukaryota; Metazoa; Chordata; Actinopteri; Osteoglossiformes; Osteoglossidae.